AAGUCUGCCCGUGCACUGCCAUGCUUCCCACCUUGCCAGUGAUGGACUAACCUCCGAAAUGUGAGGAACUACAUUUGUCUCCACACAUCAGGGCUUCAGGAAAAGCCUUGGAUUGCCCUGGUUCCCCACACAUGCCUAUGAGGGUCAAGCUGUCAAGGUCAUCUUGGCGACAUCUUGAAGUCAACCAAGGAUACACAGAUUGAUCAAAAAUUUUUUCUAAAGCAAUAAAUAAAGUGGAUUAAACCACUUUGUACCUAUAAAAAACCAAAGAAAUGAGAGAAUGUUAAUGCUUGCAAGAAUAAAAAGAUUGAAGACUUGG
RNAcentral lists this long non-coding RNA (319 nucleotides) under Rattus norvegicus (Norway rat). RNAcentral describes it as "long non-coding RNA NONRATT002245". The record is from RNAcentral. Lineage: Eukaryota; Metazoa; Chordata; Mammalia; Rodentia; Muridae.